GGAUCGAUGAUGGACACCCUCACAUGCAUUCCUUGGAAAUCUGAACAAAAUGAGUGAGAACUCACUACCGUCUCCUCAUCGAAACUGAGGUCC
Molecule: small nucleolar RNA, 93 nt
Filed under: Bos indicus x Bos taurus (hybrid cattle)
Lineage: Eukaryota; Metazoa; Chordata; Mammalia; Artiodactyla; Bovidae
Description: Small nucleolar RNA SNORD116 (ENSBIXG00005018311.1)
Rfam family: Small nucleolar RNA SNORD116
About the family: HBII-85 is a member of the C/D class of snoRNAs, which contain the C (UGAUGA) and D (CUGA) box motifs. HBII-85 is encoded in a tandemly repeated array with another C/D snoRNA, HBII-52, in the Prader-Willi syndrome (PWS) region of chromosome 15.
Source: RNAcentral